This 672-nucleotide long non-coding RNA is filed under the name Nicotiana tabacum (common tobacco). RNAcentral's name for it is "long non-coding RNA (NTAB_LNC002967)". The record is from RNAcentral. Lineage: Eukaryota; Viridiplantae; Streptophyta; Magnoliopsida; Solanales; Solanaceae.
UUUUUAGUGAAAAGAAAAGCUGCUGCAAUUUUCUGGGCAAUUUCUGCAUUUUUCGCACGUGUGAACAGUGACCGCACCUGCGUGAACAGUACCGUGAACAGUACCCCGUGAACAGUACCAUGAACAGUACCCCAUGAACAGUCGUGAAUAGUGUGAACAGUACCGGACAGAAUGUUAAGUUCUGGAAAAUGGGACGAAUCCCAUUUUCCAUUUUUACCAAAUUGGAGCUCGGGGAGAGGCAAUUUUCGGGAGAUUUUCAGAGAAAACAACGGGGUAAGUGUUCUUAACUUAAUUUUGGUUAGAUUACCCGAAUCUAUUACUAGUUUUGACAUUUAAUUGGUGAUUUUAGUUGAGAAAAUCUUGAAAACCCUCUUGAUUUAAUUUGAAGAUUUGAGGGUCGAGUUGAUGUCGGAUUUUAGUAAAAUUGGUAUGGUUGGACUCGUGGUUGGAUGAAGUUUCAUAUUCCGUAAUUUUUGUUGGGUUCCGAGAUGUGGGCUCCACGGGCAAAUUUUAAGUGCAAUUUCGAAUUUUUAAUGGAAAAUGUAGGAUUUCAUAUGGAAUUAAUUCCUAUAAUUUUAAUUAACUGAAUCGAAUUAUUGUGGCUAGAUUCGAGGCAUUCAGAGGUUGAUUUGAGAGACAAAGGCAUCACGAGCUAGAGGAUUAGCCGGUUCG